CGGCGGACGGGUGAGUAACGCGUGGGUAACCUGCCUCAUACAGGGGGAUAACAGUUGGAAACGGCUGCUAAUACCGCAUAAGCGCACAGUACCGCAUGGUACGGUGUGAAAAACUCCGGUGGUAUGAGAUGGACCCGCGUCUGAUUAGGUAGUUGGUGGGGUAACGGCCUACCAAGCCGACGAUUAGUAGCCGACCUGAGAGGGUGACCGGCCACAUUGGGACUGAGACACGGCCCAA
This 238-nucleotide ribosomal RNA is filed under the name uncultured bacterium. RNAcentral's name for it is "partial 16S ribosomal RNA". It matches the Rfam family "Bacterial small subunit ribosomal RNA", at positions 96 to 334 of the family's 1533-position model. The record is from RNAcentral.